CGGGUGGUAAUGCCGGAUGCUCCAGUUGAUCGCAUGGUCUUCUGGGAAAGCUUUCGCGGUAUGGGAUGGGGUCGCGUCCUAUCAGCUUGACGGCGGGGUAACGGCCCACCGUGGCUUCGACGGGUAGCCGGCCUGAGAGGGCGACCGGCCACAUUGGGACUGAGAUACGGCCCAGACUCCUACGGGAGGCAGCAGUGGGGAAUAUUGCACAAUGGGCGCAAGCCUGAUGCAGCGACGCCGCGUGAGGGAUGGAGGCCUUCGGGUUGUAAACCUCUUUUAUCGGGGAGCAAGCGAGAGUGAGUUUACCCGUUGAAUAAGCACCGGCUAACUACGUGCCAGCAGCCGCGGUAAUACGUAGGGUGCAAGCGUUAUCCGGAAUUAUUGGGCGUAAAGGGCUCGUAGGCGGUUCGUCGCGUCCGGUGUGAAAGUCCAUCGCUUAACGGUGGAUCCGCGCCGGGUACGGGCGGGCUUGAGUGCGGUAGGGGAGACUGGAAUUCCCGGUGUAACGGUGGAAUGUGUAGAUAUCGGGAAAGAAACACCA
Molecule: ribosomal RNA, 541 nt
Filed under: Bifidobacterium longum subsp. infantis
Lineage: Bacteria; Bacillati; Actinomycetota; Actinomycetes; Bifidobacteriales; Bifidobacteriaceae
Description: bacterial SSU rRNA
Rfam family: Bacterial small subunit ribosomal RNA
Source: RNAcentral